UUGGAGAAAGUUGGUCAUGUUUUCAGGCAUCCAGUGUUGCAGCUUUGUUGGAGAGCCAGUCUAUUCUUAAGCCUGCUCAAGGGUUGAUGCGGAAGGCCAACAGUUUGUCAGAGUGCAGAUUGUUGAGGGUGCGCAGGUCUGGCAGGCGCAGGAGGAGUUUGGGGAAGAGGGCGGUGUCAUCUGGGCGACGGCGAGUGAUCAGUGACCGCAGGGCACGGAUCAGACCCUCCUGUAGCUGCUCCACAGCCCGCAUGUCCAAGAUGCCAGAACGGUCUGAGGAGCACAGAGAAUAGACCAGCACAACAGCCAUAAAGAGGGCCAUUUCAUCAGGCUCUAGCCCCAGGGAGCCCAACUUCUCACUGAAGUCAAACAUUGCAUCCAGCAGAGAGC
Micropterus salmoides (largemouth bass) is the source of this 390-nucleotide long non-coding RNA. RefSeq lists it as uncharacterized. The transcript is spliced from 3 exons. Lineage: Eukaryota; Metazoa; Chordata; Actinopteri; Centrarchiformes; Centrarchidae. The record is from RefSeq and is a predicted model, not a curated record.